This 89-nucleotide transfer RNA is filed under the name Caudoviricetes sp. RNAcentral describes it as "tRNA-Ser". It matches the Rfam family "tRNA". From Rfam's summary of the family: Transfer RNA (tRNA) molecules are approximately 80 nucleotides in length. Their secondary structure includes four short double-helical elements and three loops (D, anti-codon, and T loops). Further hydrogen bonds mediate the characteristic L-shaped molecular structure. tRNAs have two regions of fundamental functional importance: the anti-codon, which is responsible for specific mRNA codon recognition, and the 3' end, to which the tRNAs corresponding amino acid is attached (by aminoacyl-tRNA synthetases). tRNAs cope with the degeneracy of the genetic code in two manners: having more than one tRNA (with a specific anti-codon) for a particular amino acid; and 'wobble' base-pairing, i.e. permitting non-standard base-pairing at the 3rd anti-codon position. The record is from RNAcentral. Lineage: Duplodnaviria; Heunggongvirae; Uroviricota; Caudoviricetes.
GGAGCAUUACUCAAGUGGUUGAAGAGAACAGUCUUGAAAACUGUGAGGCCGGUAAUCCCGGUGCGGGGGUUCGAAUCCCUCAUGCUCCG